This is a long non-coding RNA of Passer domesticus (house sparrow), 234 nucleotides long. RefSeq lists it as uncharacterized. The record is from RefSeq and is a predicted model, not a curated record. The transcript has 3 exons. Lineage: Eukaryota; Metazoa; Chordata; Aves; Passeriformes; Passeridae.
CACACAUUCCCAGAGUGCCAAAUCAGAAGAACUCAUAGGAUAUGCAACUUUCACUGGAGGCUCUGUCCUCGUGGCACAGGGUAUUCAGAGCCUGUGGUUGUUGAGAACAAAGCUGAAGUCUCAAAAGCAGAACAGUUUUGCCUGGAAAAAAUUAACAAGGAUCACUAGAACACAGACUCUCCUCAGAAACAGAAGCAACAAUUUGCUGCAUGCUUCCAAGCAGGGUUCAGAAGG